GAUGAACGCUGGCGGCGUGCCUAAUACAUGCAAGUCGAGCGAACGGACGAGAAGCUUGCUUUUCUGAUGUAAGCGGCGGACGGGUGAGUAACACGUGGAUAACCUACCUAUAAGACUGGGAUAACUUCGGGAAACCGGAGCUAAUACCGGAUAAUAUUUUGAACCGCAUGGUUAAAAAGUGAAAGACGGUCUUGCUGUCACUUAUAGAUGGAUCCGCGCUGCAUUAGCUAGUUGGUAAGGUAACGGCUUACCAAGGCAACGAUGCAUAGCCGACCUGAGAGGGUGAUCGGCCACACUGGAACUGAGACACGGUCCAGACUCCUACGGGAGGCAGCAGUAGGGAAUCUGCCGCAAUGGGCGAAAGCCUGACGGAGCAACGCCGCGUGAGUGAUGAAGGUCUUCGGAUCGUAAAACUCUGUUAUUAGGGAAGAACAUAUGUGUAAGUAACUGUGCACAUCUUGACGGUACCUAAUCAGAAAGCCACGGCUAACUACGUG
This 497-nucleotide ribosomal RNA is filed under the name uncultured bacterium. RNAcentral describes it as "partial 16S ribosomal RNA". It matches the Rfam family "Bacterial small subunit ribosomal RNA", at positions 28 to 507 of the family's 1533-position model. The record is from RNAcentral.